GUUUGCAUGGCCCCUGGGCAAGGAUGACACACAAAUUCACAAAGUAUCUCAUAUUUUU
This 58-nucleotide small nuclear RNA is filed under the name Erinaceus europaeus (western European hedgehog). Lineage: Eukaryota; Metazoa; Chordata; Mammalia; Eulipotyphla; Erinaceidae. The record is from RNAcentral.